CUGGUGCUGCGCAUCUGUGGUGCUGUUUGCUGUUAGAGAGCACACACAGUGACAGCUCGAGACCAGGAGAUGGAUUUGGAGGAGCACGGGGACCCACGACUCUUCCCUCUGCUGGCCAGCACAGGAUUCACAGAAUUCUUUAAGCAGGAAGUCCCACCCUCUGGUGAAGGUCCCGCCCAGGUGGAAGGACCUGGAAAAGGGAAACUGCUCUUUGCCACUCACCUUCACUCCUUCUGGCAAGAUCAUCUAUCCUGUUGCUGUGAUGUUCCUUCGUAGAGACUAGAACCAGCGUCCUUGAGAAUUCCAGCAUAGACUGAAGAUCAGCAGCACGUCACAAACCCUCCAGAGCUUCUGUGCCCCAUUGGGACUGCUGAGCCAUCCAGCCUCUACCAGAUUCUCAAACUCUCCUGGGUGAAACAUCCACCGUUGGAUUACUACGUAUCUUGUAAACCAGGCUAAUAAAUCAUCUUUUCAAAGGCA
Long non-coding RNA from Mastomys coucha (southern multimammate mouse), 480 nucleotides. RefSeq lists it as uncharacterized. Lineage: Eukaryota; Metazoa; Chordata; Mammalia; Rodentia; Muridae. The transcript has 2 exons. The record is from RefSeq and is a predicted model, not a curated record.